AGAGUUUGAUCCUGGCUCAGAACGAACGCUGCCGUCAGGCUUAACACAUGCAAGUCGAACGCACCGCAAGGUGAGUGGCAGACGGGUGAGUAACGCGUGGGAACCUUCCCUUUGGUACGGAAUAACUUCGGGAAACCGAAGCUAAUACCGUAUAAGUCCUUCGGGAGAAAGAUUUAUCGCCAAAGGAUGGGCCCGCGUUGGAUUAGCUAGUUGGUAGGGUAAAGGCCUACCAAGGCUACGAUCCAUAGCUGGUCUGAGAGGAUGAUCAGCCACACUGGGACUGAGACACGGCCCAGACUCCUACGGGAGGCAGCAGUGGGGAAUAUUGGACAAUGGGGGCAACCCUGAUCCAGCCAUGCCGCGUGAGUGAAGAAGGCCUUAGGGUUGUAAGGCUCUUUUGGCGGGGACGAUAAUGACGGUACCCGCAGAAUAAGCCCCGGCUAACUUCGUGCCAGCAGCCGCGGUAAUACGAAGGGGGCUAGCGUUGUUCGGAAUCACUGGGCGUAAAGCGCACGCAGGCGGAUUGAUAAGUCAGGGGUGAAAUCCCGGAGCUCAACUUCGGAAUUGCCUUUGAUACUGUCUGUCUUCGAGUUCGGGAGAGGUUGGCGGAAUUCCUAGUGUAGAGGUGAAAUUCGUAGAUAUUAGGAAGAACACCAGUGGCGAAGGCGGCCAACUGGCCCGAUACUGACGCUCAUGUGCGAAAGCGUGGGGAGCAAACAGGAUUAGAUACCCUG
This 734-nucleotide ribosomal RNA is filed under the name uncultured bacterium. Its description in RNAcentral is "bacterial SSU rRNA". It matches the Rfam family "Bacterial small subunit ribosomal RNA", at positions 8 to 789 of the family's 1533-position model. The record is from RNAcentral.